AGAUGCUGGGGAGUGUGGUAGAAAGAUCUUCAUCAACUGCUCAAGGUGACCAUGUCUGGUUUCUUUGCCCAGGAAUUACUUGCAUCUGUCUGGCCACAUUUGAUAACAAGCUAUCCCUAAGCAGUUACAGCCAGGUUGUCCUAGCUGCUGAUGGGGACGUGCAAGAGGAUAGUUGUUACAGGAAGGAAGAGACUGCAUUUCUGGAAGGGCCUCUUUUACCUGGAGCUUCACAAGGUACAUGAGCAGCGCUGGACUAAGGAAGGCACGACUGAUGGGUAACAGAGAAGCACAACAUGAUGGCCUUCAGGAGAACCAGCACAAUGCUGCUGACUACGGAGCGGCAGCGUUUCUAAACCUUCCUCUAGGGCACACAGCUCCUGAGCCCAACAGGAAAGGCACAGCAGGCUGUAUCUGAAGAGCACAUUAGGGUUUAAAGGAGGAUGU
Molecule: long non-coding RNA, 444 nt
Organism: Dryobates pubescens (Downy woodpecker)
Lineage: Eukaryota; Metazoa; Chordata; Aves; Piciformes; Picidae
Exons: 3
Source: RefSeq, a predicted model, not a curated record